AUUGAACGCUGGCGGCAGGCCUAACACAUGCAAGUCGAACGGUAACAGGAAGAAGCUUGCUUCUUUGCUGACGAGUGGCGGACGGGUGAGUAAUGUCUGGGAAACUGCCUGAUGGAGGGGGAUAACUACUGGAAACGGUAGCUAAUACCGCAUAACGUCGCAAGACCAAAAAGGGGGACCUUCGGGCCUCUUGCCCUCGGAUGUGCCCAGAUGGGAUUAGCUAGUAGGUGGGGUAACGGCUCCCCCAGGCGACGAUCCCUAGCUGGUCUGAGAGGAUGACCAGCCACACUGGAACUGAGACACGGUCCAGACUCCUACGGGAGGCAGCAGUGGGGAAUAUUGCACAAUGGGCGCAAGCCUGAUGCAGCCAUGCCGCGUGUAUGAAGAAGGCCUUCGGGUUGUAAAGUACUUUCGGCGGGGAGGAAGGGAGUAAAGUUAAUACCUUUGCUCAUUGACGUUACCCGAAGAAGAAGCACCGGCUAACUCCGUG
Molecule: ribosomal RNA, 490 nt
Filed under: uncultured bacterium
Lineage: Bacteria
Description: partial 16S ribosomal RNA
Rfam family: Bacterial small subunit ribosomal RNA
Source: RNAcentral